UUUGUGCUCGCUCGCCUCGCUUGCGUUUUUUUGGUGUGGUCGCUUUGCUGGCCGCGUAUCGCGAAUCUAUAAUUUUCAAUGAUCGAAUAUUCAUUGUGGCAUUAGUAUUAUUCCUUAAAUUACUGACGAAAUUGUAUUUUAAUUGAUAAUUAGGUAUGUCGCGAUAUGGAGAUUGUAAAGUUUACGUGGGAGAUUUGGGAAACAAUGCGAGCAAACCGGAGUUGGAAGAUGCAUUUUCGUACUACGGUCCAUUGAGAAAUGUAUGGGUAGCUCGAAAUCCACCUGGGUUUGCCUUCGUUGAAUUUGAAGAUCCUCGUGACGCCGAAGAUGCAGUCCGUGGUUUGGAUGGUCGGACAGUAUGUGGACGUCGUGCACGCGUUGAAAUGUCAAAUGGAAGCCGAGGACAUGGGGGACGCGGUCCUCCGCCAAGGUCUCGUCCGCCUUCCCGGCCUUACGACGACCGAUGUUAUGACUGCGGUGACAGAGGUCACUACGCCAGGGACUGCACACGACGUCGCCGUCGCAGGUUAUCAUUGGCCUGUGCGCCGAGAAUGAACUCGUCAGUGUCUGCACUUCUUAUUGUCAACGCUACGUAGUUUUCACUUCGCGGCGUGUACUCCGCUUGAGUUGGCCGCAUCGGUAACUUCGCUCUGCGAACUACGUAGCUACGUCCUACGUGCACGCUCCACUUGUUGAGAACUCCAUUGAGAUUUUGUUCACUCUGCGCAUCGCAACCUACGUCUAUUGUAAUCACUGCGUGCACUCACCGCUCCCGCUCCCGACGCCGCUCGCGCUCCCGCUCGCCGCGCUCUGCGUCUCGCUCUCGCAGCCGCUCUCGCUCUCGCUCCCGCUCCAAGGGACGCUCCGCCUCGCGAUCCAGGUCUCGGUCGCCAUCCAAGGACUCCAAG
Molecule: RNA transcript, 908 nt
Organism: Plodia interpunctella (Indianmeal moth)
Lineage: Eukaryota; Metazoa; Arthropoda; Insecta; Lepidoptera; Pyralidae
Gene name: serine/arginine-rich splicing factor 7-like
Exons: 5
Source: RefSeq, a predicted model, not a curated record